Molecule: ribosomal RNA, 300 nt
Filed under: uncultured Colwelliaceae bacterium
Lineage: Bacteria; Pseudomonadati; Pseudomonadota; Gammaproteobacteria; Alteromonadales; Colwelliaceae
Description: bacterial SSU rRNA
Rfam family: Bacterial small subunit ribosomal RNA
Source: RNAcentral
UGCUUGGGAAUAUGCCUUGAGGUGGGGGACAACAGUUGGAAACGACUGCUAAUACCGCAUAAUGUCUACGGACCAAAGAGGGGGAUUCUUCGGAACCUCUUGCCUUUAGAUUAGCCCAAGUGAGAUUAGCUAGUAGGUGAGGUAAUGGCUCACCUAGGCGACGAUCUCUAGCUGGUUUGAGAGGAUGAUCAGCCACACUGGGACUGAGACACGGCCCAGACUCCUACGGGAGGCAGCAGUGGGGAAUAUUGCACAAUGGGGGAAACCCUGAUGCAGCCAUGCCGCGUGUGUGAAGAAGGC